Molecule: non-coding RNA, 26 nt
Filed under: Homo sapiens (human)
Lineage: Eukaryota; Metazoa; Chordata; Mammalia; Primates; Hominidae
Source: RNAcentral
UUAGGUGUUUGCAAUAAAUCCUGGUA